RNAcentral lists this ribosomal RNA (357 nucleotides) under uncultured soil bacterium. RNAcentral describes it as "bacterial SSU rRNA". It matches the Rfam family "Bacterial small subunit ribosomal RNA", at positions 27 to 402 of the family's 1533-position model. The record is from RNAcentral.
GGAACGAACGCUGGCGGCAUGCCUAAUACAUGCAAGUCGAACGAACUCUUCGGAGUUAGUGGCGCACGGGUGCGUAACGCGUGGGAAUCUGCCCCUUGGUUCGGAAUAACAGUUGGAAACGACUGCUAAUACCGGAUGAUGACGAAAGUCCAAAGAUUUAUCGCCAAGGGAUGAGCCCGCGUAGGAUUAGCUAGUUGGUGAGGUAAAGGCUCACCAAGGCAACGAUCCUUAGCUGGUCUGAGAGGAUGAUCAGCCACACUGGGACUGAGACACGGCCCAGACCUCCGUACGGGAGGCAGCAGUAGGGAAUAGUUGGACAAGUGGGGACGAAAGCCUAGACUCCAGCAAUCGCCGCGG